RNAcentral lists this ribosomal RNA (253 nucleotides) under uncultured bacterium. RNAcentral's name for it is "partial 16S ribosomal RNA". It matches the Rfam family "Bacterial small subunit ribosomal RNA", at positions 524 to 776 of the family's 1533-position model. The record is from RNAcentral.
CACGGGGGGAGCGAGCGUUGUUCGGAAUCACUGGGCGUAAAGGGCGUGUAGGCGGCCAGGUAAGUGGGCUGUGAAAUGCCUCGGCUUACCCGAGGAUCGGCAAUCCAAACUGCCUGGCUUGAGUACGGGAGAGGAUGAGGGAAUUCCUGGUGUAGCGGUGAAAUGCGUAGAUAUCAGGAGGAACACCGGUGGCGAAGGCGCUCAUCUGGCCCGAUACUGACGCUGAGGCGCGAAAGCUAGGGGAGCAAACGGG